GUCCACGCCCUAAACGAUGUCGACUGGUUGUUGGGGGUUUGACACUCUCAGUAACGAAGCUAACGCGUGAAGUCGACCGCCUGGGGAGUACGGCCGCAAGGUUAAAACUCAAAGGAAUUGACGGGGACCCGCACAAGCGGUGGAUUAUGUGGAUUAAUUCGAUGCAACGCGAAAACCUUACCUACCCUUGACAUGUCCGAGAGCCCGAUGAGAGUUGGGUGUGCCCGAAAGGGAAUCGGAACACAGGUGCUGCAUGGCUGUCGU
This 264-nucleotide ribosomal RNA is filed under the name uncultured bacterium. RNAcentral describes it as "partial 16S ribosomal RNA". It matches the Rfam family "Bacterial small subunit ribosomal RNA", at positions 793 to 1055 of the family's 1533-position model. The record is from RNAcentral.